UUAGAUAUAUAAUAUAUACACACAUGUCUGUGGACACCCCUUCAAAUGAAUGGAUUCAGCUAUUUAAGCCUCACCCAUUGCUGACAGGUGUAUAAAAUCGAGGACAAAGCCGUGCAAUCUCCAUAGACAAAAACAGGCAGUAUGGCAGUAGAUUGGCAACAUUCACUACAGAGUUCCAAACAGCCUCUGGAAGCAACGGCAGCACAAUAAGUUGUCAUAAGUCAUUGGGAGCAUCAUGAAAUGGGUUUCUAUGGCUGUGCAGCCGCACAUAAGCCUAAAAUCACCAUGCACAAUAGCAAGAAUCGUACUCUGGAGAUGUGGAAACCCGUUCUCUGGAGUGAUGAAUCACGCUUCACCAUCUGGCAGUCCAACGGAUGAUUCUGGGUUUGGCGGUUGCCAAUAGAACGCUACCUGCCCCAAUGCAUAUUGCCAACUGUAAAGUUUGGUGGAUGAGGAAUGGUCUGGAGCUGUUUUUCAUGGUUCGGCCUAGGCACCUUUUGUUCCAGUGAAGGGAAUGCUACAACAUACAAUGACAUUCUGUAUUCCAUAUUAAUACUCAUGAUUUUAGAAUGAGAUGUUCGACAAGCAGGUGUCCACAUACUUUUGGUCAUGUAGUGUUCUUCAGAGAUAUUUAUGUGAGAAAUGACCAUAAUAUGUUCUGUAUUUUCAGGGUCAGGAGAGCAUGUUACCAACCCAACAGUUUUUGGGGUUGCAGCAGGAACUCUGGGGGCAUUUUUGCUUAUCAGCCUGAUCAGUCUUUUUGUAUGGUAAAAACUUUUCCUGGCAUCAAUGUAAAAACAUAAAUGUAUGUUGUGCUUGUGCUGUUGCAUAUGAAAACCCUCUCAGUGCAUUCAGAAUACCUUUGUAAAUGUCUUCCAGGAGGAGAAACUCGAGGCUCCACAAUGGACUUGAAAGGACGGACAGUCAACAGGGACAGAACUCCCCGGUUGGGACAGUGUGUACUAACCAGGCCACAGCCGGAGAGGAACCAGAGAAAACCUGCAGAAGACCAGCCUGAAGAGAUCCACUACGGUGACAUAGACUUCUCCAAACUACAGACCAAAGAGACCCCAGCUGCAGCCCAGGACAGGAUCCAGGGACAGGAGAGUGAGUACGCUGAAGUCAACCUGACUGGGAGAGGGGCUCAGGAACCACCUCUUAACAACCUAGAUGGGCUUUAUGCACAAGUGAAUAAAAUAAGUGCUUGUUAAUUAUUUUUCCAAUGGGUAUUAAGUGUUUUUAUGUACACUAUUGUCAUUGUGUAUCUGUUUUCUAUUGGUACAUUUGUUACAUCUAUAAUUGUGUGCUCUUUGAUUAUCUGCAUAUUUGUAGAAUUUUCUGGGAUGAAAAGUGUUUAACUGUUACUAUAGUGUUGAUAUGAUGAUGCAGGCUACUCUUUAUUUUGGACCAUUUAUUUUGAGUGUUCAGUUCACAGAGCAUCUGUUUAAUGGGUUCCAGUAUAGAGGAACUGCUGAGUUCAAUUAGCUCAGUGAAGGCAGAUUAAGACCAUAUAAAGUCAAUGAUGACUGAGGAGAGAAGAGACAGGUAGUUGGAGAGACAGUGGUCUGAUACAAGACAGGAAGUUGGUGCAGUAAGUCUACAUGAUGGCAGAAUGGUGUUAACAUCUACUAGUCACUGUUUAUCUUAAUCUUUUGUGCAGUUCCCAGAAUAACAAUAUCCUCUACUUUCAGUUUAUAUCUAUUUAGAAGUAAUUGUUUCAGUUUUUAUGUUGAGUGUUAAAUUGAAGAAACAAUUGAGACGGCAUUUCAGGUUGUUUAUUAAUUGCACUGUAAUUAAAACAUUUACAUUCAA
Molecule: long non-coding RNA, 1812 nt
Organism: Oncorhynchus nerka (sockeye salmon)
Lineage: Eukaryota; Metazoa; Chordata; Actinopteri; Salmoniformes; Salmonidae
Exons: 2
Source: RefSeq, a predicted model, not a curated record